UACGUAGGGUGCGAGCGUUGUCCGGAAUUACUGGGCGUAAAGGGCUCGUAGGUGGUUUGUCGCGUCGUCUGUGAAAUUCCGGGGCUUAACUCCGGGCGUGCAGGCGAUACGGGCAUAACUUGAGUACUGUAGGGGUAACUGGAAUUCCUGGUGUAGCGGUGAAAUGCGCAGAUAUCAGGAGGAACUCCGAUGGCGAAGGCAGGUUACUGGGCAGUUACUGACGCUGAGGAGCGAAAGCAUGGGUAGCGAACAGGAUUAGAUACCCUGGUAGUCCAUGCCGUAAACGGUGGGCGCUAGGUGUGAGGGUCUUUUCACGACUUUCGUGCCGUAGCUAACGCAUUAAGCGCCCCGCCUGGGGAGUACGGCCGCAAGGCUAAAACU
Molecule: ribosomal RNA, 381 nt
Filed under: uncultured bacterium
Lineage: Bacteria
Description: bacterial SSU rRNA
Rfam family: Bacterial small subunit ribosomal RNA
Source: RNAcentral